Molecule: ribosomal RNA, 1046 nt
Filed under: Bacillus velezensis
Lineage: Bacteria; Bacillati; Bacillota; Bacilli; Caryophanales; Bacillaceae
Description: bacterial SSU rRNA
Rfam family: Bacterial small subunit ribosomal RNA
Source: RNAcentral
UUUCUUUUCUCUCCGGGGGGGGGGGCGCCAGUAGGGAUCUUCCGCCAUCGACGAAAGUCUGACGAGCACGCCGCGUGAGUGAUGAUGUUUUCGGAUCGUAAGCUCUGUGUUAGGGAAGAACAAGUGCCGUUCAAAUAGGGCGGCACCUUGACGGUACCUAACCAGAAAGCCCACGGCUAACUACGUGCCAGCAGCCGCGGUAAUACGUAGGUGGCAAGCGUUGUCCGGAAUUAUUGGGCGUAAAGGGCUCGCAGGCGGUUUCUUAAGUCUGAUGUGAAAGCCCCCGGCUCAACCGGGGAGGGUCAUUGGAAACUGGGGAACUUGAGUGCAGAAGAGGAGAGUGGAAUUCCACGUGUAGCGGUGAAAUGCGUAGAGAUGUGGAGGAACACCAGUGGCGAAGGCGACUCUCUGGUCUGUAACUGACGCUGAGGAGCGAAAGCGUGGGGAGCGAACAGGAUUAGAUACCCUGGUAGUCCACGCCGUAAACGAUGAGUGCUAAGUGUUAGGGGGUUUCCGCCCCUUAGUGCUGCAGCUAACGCAUUAAGCACUCCGCCUGGGGAGUACGGUCGCAAGACUGAAACUCAAAGGAAUUGACGGGGGCCCGCACAAGCGGUGGAGCAUGUGGUUUAAUUCGAAGCAACGCGAAGAACCUUACCAGGUCUUGACAUCCUCUGACAAUCCUAGAGAUAGGACGUCCCCUUCGGGGGCAGAGUGACAGGUGGUGCAUGGUUGUCGUCAGCUCGUGUCGUGAGAUGUUGGGUUAAGUCCCGCAACGAGCGCAACCCUUGAUCUUAGUUGCCAGCAUUCAGUUGGGCACUCUAAGGUGACUGCCGGUGACAAACCGGAGGAAGGUGGGGAUGACGUCAAAUCAUCAUGCCCCUUAUGACCUGGGCUACACACGUGCUACAAUGGACAGAACAAAGGGCAGCGAAACCGCGAGGUUAAGCCAAUCCCACAAAUCUGUUCUCAGUUCGGAUCGCAGUCUGCAACUCGACUGCGUGAAGCUGGAAUCGCUAGUAAUCGCGGAUCAGCAUGCCGCGAUCGAA